CUGCGGUAGGACAUUACUGAAGUGAGGGCCCUCUGGGUCCAACCUCCCACCCCGUGUUUAUUGUACCUUGUUGCUUCGGCGGGCCCGCCUUUAUGGCCGCCGGGGGGCUUACGCUCCCGGGCCCGCGCCCGCCGAAGACACCCUCGAACUCUGUCUGAAGAUUGUAGUCUGAGUGAAAAUAUAAAUUAUUUAAAACUUUCAACAACGGAUCUCUUGGUUCCGGCAUCGAUGAAGAACGCAGCGAAAUGCGAUACGUAAUGUGAAUUGCAGAAUUCAGUGAAUCAUCGAGUCUUUGAACGCACAUUGCGCCCCCUGGUAUUCCGGGGGGCAUGCCUGUCCGAGCGUCAUUGCUGCCCUCAAGCACGGCUUGUGUGUUGGGCCCCGUCCUCCGAUCCCGGGGGACGGGCCCGAAAGGCAGCGGCGGCACCGCGUCCGGUCCUCGAGCGUAUGGGGCUUUGUCACCCGCUCUGUAGGCCCGGCCGGCGCUUGCCGAUCAACCAAAAUUUUUUCCAGGUUGACCUCGGAUCAGGUAGGGAUACCCGCUGAACUUAACAU
RNAcentral lists this ribosomal RNA (555 nucleotides) under Penicillium concentricum. RNAcentral's name for it is "eukaryotic LSU rRNA". The stretch from base 194 to 347 matches the Rfam family "5.8S ribosomal RNA". The record is from RNAcentral. Lineage: Eukaryota; Fungi; Ascomycota; Eurotiomycetes; Eurotiales; Aspergillaceae.